UACGAAGGGGGCUAGCGUUGCUCGGAAUUACUGGGCGUAAAGCGCACGUAGGCGGCUUCUUAAGUCGGUGGUGAAAUCCUGGAGCUCAACUCCAGAACUGCCUUCGAUACUGGGAAGCUCGAGUCCGGGAGAGGUGAGUGGAACUGCGAGUGUAGAGGUGAAAUUCGUAGAUAUUCGCAAGAACACCAGUGGCGAAGGCGGCUCACUGGCCCGGUACUGACGCUGAGGUACGAAAGCGUGGGGAGCAAACAGG
Molecule: ribosomal RNA, 253 nt
Filed under: uncultured bacterium
Lineage: Bacteria
Description: partial 16S ribosomal RNA
Rfam family: Bacterial small subunit ribosomal RNA
Source: RNAcentral